GGCUGGUCCGAUGGUAGUGGGUUAUCAGAACUUAUUAACAUUAGUGUCACUAAAGUUGGUAUACAACCCCCCACUGCUAGAUUUGACUGGCUUUU
Molecule: Y RNA, 95 nt
Filed under: Canis lupus familiaris (dog)
Lineage: Eukaryota; Metazoa; Chordata; Mammalia; Carnivora; Canidae
Rfam family: Y RNA
About the family: Y RNAs are components of the Ro ribonucleoprotein particle (Ro RNP), in association with Ro60 and La proteins. The Y RNAs and Ro60 and La proteins are well conserved, but the function of the Ro RNP is not known. In humans the RNA component can be one of four small RNAs -- hY1, hY3, hY4 and hY5.
Source: Rfam by way of RNAcentral